Molecule: RNase P RNA, 394 nt
Filed under: Lachnospiraceae bacterium
Lineage: Bacteria; Bacillati; Bacillota; Clostridia; Lachnospirales; Lachnospiraceae
Description: RNase P RNA component class A
Rfam family: Bacterial RNase P class A
About the family: Ribonuclease P (RNase P) is a ubiquitous endoribonuclease, found in archaea, bacteria and eukarya as well as chloroplasts and mitochondria.
Source: RNAcentral
CAAGUAGAAUAAAUGAUCGCGGCUGUACAGACGCAAGGGUACAGGUGAGGAAAGUCCGGGCUUCACAGGGCAGGAUGCCGGAUAACGUCCGGUGGAGGUGACUCCAAGGCUAGUGCAACAGAAAACAGACAGCUAUGCGUAGUAUUGCGGAACAAUGUGAAAGCAUUGUGACGCAAUACUACAUUGCAUAGUGAUGGUGGAAUGGCAGUGUAAGAGACUACCGCUGCAACGGUAACGGUGCAGGCUGUGUAAACCCCAUCCGAAGCAAGACCGAAACGAAAGCGACAGAUUGGCCCGAUCUGCUUUCAGGUGGGUCGCUUGAGAUAUCCGGUAACGGAUAUCCUAGAUAGAUGAUCAUUCACGACAUAACCCGGCUUAUCGUUCUGCUUGGUUU